RNAcentral lists this ribosomal RNA (774 nucleotides) under uncultured Neocallimastigales. RNAcentral describes it as "partial large subunit ribosomal RNA". It matches the Rfam family "Eukaryotic large subunit ribosomal RNA", at positions 26 to 611 of the family's 3401-position model. Lineage: Eukaryota; Fungi; Neocallimastigomycota; Neocallimastigomycetes; Neocallimastigales. The record is from RNAcentral.
CGCAUCUGUGCAUGCAGCAUAUCAAUAAGCGGAGGAAAAGAAACUAACAAGGAUUCCCCUAGUAACGGCGAGUGAAGCGGGAAGAGCUCAAAUUUGAAAUCUUAAAGGGUUUCCCUUUACGAAUUGUAGUUUAGAGAAGUGUUUUCUGUUGAGGUUUUGGUAAAAGUUCUUUGGAAUAGGACAUCAUAGAGGGUGAGAAUCCCGUAUUUGACCUUUACUUUCAACUUUGUGAUACACUUUCAAAGAGUCGGAUUGUUUGGGAAUGCAGUCCAAAAUGGGUGGUAAAUUUCAUCUAAAGCUAAAUAUUGGCGAGAGACCGAUAGCGAACAAGUACCGUGAGGGAAAGAUGAAAAGGACUUUGAAAAGAGAGUUAAACAGUACGUGAAAUUGUCAAAAGGGAAGCGUUUGACACCAGUGUUGUUUUUCUGAAAAUCAAUUAAAGAACUGUUUAUGCUAAGUUGUUUAGACUUUAUCAGCUAACUGUUUAGUUUUGAGCUUUUCUUUAAUGCACUUUUCAGUUAACAAGUCAACAUCAAUUUCUUUUGCUGUAAAAAAGCUUGAGGAAGGUGGCUUGAGAUUCGUCUUAAGUGUUUAUAGCCUCUUGCCUAUGCAGUCGGAGAGAUUGAGGUCUGCAGCGUAGAUCCUUCGGGGCUAAAUGCAUUUGUGCUAAGUUAUAACAUUUUAUAGACAACUUGUUGACUAUGAUUUGUCUUGUAGCUUACUCGCUUAUGUUAUUUUACCUACGCUUAGGAUGUUGAACGCGCACAGAGUCUC